UUCGGACCUCGAGUCACAGGUGAUGACUGACGACUUUUUGAGUGUCCCUUUGCUUUGCUGGCCGUGCUCGCGAAUGGAAGUUCUGGUGUACGUGGUGUCAUAGUGUCCCGAUUCCAAGAGGUCUGAACCGUGCCAUUCCCAAAUAAACGGGCAGGGCACGCAUCGUCAUCCUCAGCGAAAAAAGGGAAUUCUGGAAUAAAUCCGAAAGCCUCGUAAUUUUGCGGACCCACUGCCACGUGCUACACUUGGACCCACACUUGAUCGAGAUUUUGGUUGGGCAGUGCUCGGUGGCGAGCUCUGCGCUGUGUCCUGCUAUAGCGGCUGUCGCCGGAUUUUUUCCUCCGUUGAAGGAGGUGUUUGGCACCGGCUGUCCCGCAGUGCCAGACGCUUGCUGCGCCCGACGGGUGCGGAGGGGGUUGAGCCGAGUGGUGGAUAGUAGCGCGCUAAUCUUAAGUAUUUUUAAUCGGUACCAACCAAACGGCCCAACGACCCAUCCCUUCUUUUUUAUUUAGUUUUU
Molecule: long non-coding RNA, 517 nt
Organism: Ostrinia nubilalis (European corn borer)
Lineage: Eukaryota; Metazoa; Arthropoda; Insecta; Lepidoptera; Crambidae
Exons: 3
Source: RefSeq, a predicted model, not a curated record